AGCUGCACCCACACCACACGCAAGCUAAGCAGGGUCGGCUCAGAUCCCUCCUCGGAUGGGAGACUGCUAAGGAAUACUUAGGGGGUGCAGGGC
Molecule: ribosomal RNA, 93 nt
Filed under: Chrysemys picta bellii (western painted turtle)
Lineage: Eukaryota; Metazoa; Chordata; Testudines; Emydidae
Source: RNAcentral